RNAcentral lists this ribosomal RNA (530 nucleotides) under uncultured bacterium. RNAcentral describes it as "bacterial SSU rRNA". It matches the Rfam family "Bacterial small subunit ribosomal RNA", at positions 355 to 896 of the family's 1533-position model. The record is from RNAcentral.
UGGGGAAUAUUGCACAAUGGGCGGAAGCCUGAUGCAGCGACGCCGCGUGGGGGAUGAAGGCCUUCGGGUUGUAAACUCCUUUCGACAGGGACGAAGCGUAAGUGACGGUACCUGUAUAAGAAGCACCGGCUAACUACGUGCCAGCAGCCGCGGUAAUACGUAGGGUGCGAGCGUUGUCCGGAAUUACUGGGCGUAAAGAGCUCGUAGGUGGUUUGUCGCGUCGUCUGUGAAAUUCCGGGGCUUAACUCCGGGCGUGCAGGCGAUACGGGCUGACUUGAGUGCUGUAGGGGAGACUGGAAUUCCUGGUGUAGCGGUGAAAUGCGCAGAUAUCAGGAGGAACACCGAUGGCGAAGGCAGGUCUCUGGGCAGUAACUGACGCUGAGGAGCGAAAGCAUGGGUAGCGAACAGGAUUAGAUACCCUGGUAGUCCGUGCCGUAAACGGUGGGCGCUAGGUGUAGGGGGCUUCCACGUCUUCUGUGCCGUAGCUAACGCAUUAAGCGCCCCGCCUGGGGAGUACGGCCGCAAGGCUA